CAGUAGCCGCGGUAAUACGUAGGUGGCAAGCGUUGUCCGGAAUUAUUGGGCGUAAAGGGCUCGCAGGCGGUUUCUUAAGUCUGAUGUGAAAGCCCCCGGCUCGACCGGGGAGGGUCAUUGGAAACUGGGAAACUUGAGUGCAGAAGAGGAGAGUGGAAUUCCGCGUGUAGCGGUGAAAUGCGUAGGGAUGUGGAGGAACACCAGUGGCGGAGGCGACUCUCUGGUCUGUAACUGACGCUGAGGAGCGAAAGCGUGGGGAGCGAACAGGAUUAGAUACCCCAGUAGUCCCUGUCUCUUAUAC
RNAcentral lists this ribosomal RNA (301 nucleotides) under uncultured bacterium. RNAcentral's name for it is "partial 16S ribosomal RNA". It matches the Rfam family "Bacterial small subunit ribosomal RNA", at positions 509 to 807 of the family's 1533-position model. The record is from RNAcentral.